ACACGCAUGACACACUGCAUAUCAAUAAGCGGAGGAAAAGAAACUAACUAGGAUUCCCUUAGUAACGGCGAGUGAAGCGGGAAGAGCUCAAAUUUGAAAUCUUCAAGGGUUUCUACCUUGACGAAUUGUAGUUUAAAGAAGUGUUUUCUGUUAGAGAGGUUGGUAAAAGUUCUUUGGAAUAGGACAUCAUAGAGGGUGAGAAUCCCGUAUUUGAUCACUAUUUCUAGCUACGUUGUGAUACACUUUCAAAGAGUCGGAUUGUUUGGGAAUGCAGUCCAAAAUGGGUGGUAAGUUUCAUCUAAAGCUAAAUAUUGGCGAGAGACCGAUAGCGAACAAGUACCGUGAGGGAAAGAUGAAAAGAACUUUGAAAAGAGAGUUAAACAGUACGUGAAAUUGUCAAAAGGGAAGCGUUUGACACCAGUGUUGGUUUCUCGAAAAUCAAUUAAAAAUGAUGGGAUUUUGUGUUGUGUUGACUUUAUCAGCUUUCUGCACUUUUUUCUUAUCUUUUUUAAUGCACUUUUCGUUUAACAAGUCAACAUCAAUUUCUUUUGUUGUAAAAGAGUCAUCGGAAGGUGGCUUUUUCUUCGGAAAAAGUGUUUAUAGCCUUUGGCUUCUGCAAUCGGAGAGAUUGAGGUCUGCAGCGUAGAUCCUUCGGGGUUAGAUACAUUUGUGCUAAGCUAUAGUUCUUUAUAGACAACUUGUUGACUAUAAUCAAUCCUGUAACUUACUCGCUUAUGCUAUUUUACCUACGCUUAGGAUGUUGAAGACUCUACAGAGAUA
This 780-nucleotide ribosomal RNA is filed under the name uncultured Neocallimastigales. RNAcentral describes it as "partial large subunit ribosomal RNA". The stretch from base 2 to 699 matches the Rfam family "Eukaryotic large subunit ribosomal RNA", at positions 24 to 664 of the family's 3401-position model. Lineage: Eukaryota; Fungi; Neocallimastigomycota; Neocallimastigomycetes; Neocallimastigales. The record is from RNAcentral.